This 429-nucleotide ribosomal RNA is filed under the name Bacteroidota bacterium. RNAcentral's name for it is "Bacteroidetes bacterium partial 16S ribosomal RNA". It matches the Rfam family "Bacterial small subunit ribosomal RNA", at positions 355 to 776 of the family's 1533-position model. Lineage: Bacteria; Pseudomonadati; Bacteroidota. The record is from RNAcentral.
UAGGGAAUCUUCGGCAAUGGGGGGAACCCUGACCGAGCAACGCCGCGUGAGUGAAGAAGGUUUUCGGAUCGUAAAGCUCUGUUGUUAAGGAAGAACGAGUGUGAGAAUGGAAAGUUCAUGCUGUGACGGUACUUAACCAGAAAGGGACGGCUAACUACGUGCCAGCAGCCGCGGUAAUACGUAGGUCCCGAGCGUAGUCCGGAUUUAUUGGGCGUAAAGCGAGCGCAGGCGGUUAGAAAAGUCUGAAGUGAAAGGCAGUGGCUCAACCAUUGUAGGCUUUGGAAACUGUUUAACUUGAGUGCAGAAGGGGAGAGUGGAAUUCCAUGUGUAGCGGUGAAAUGCGUAGAUAUAUGGAGGAACACCGGUGGCGAAAGCGGCUCUCUGGUCUGUAACUGACGCUGAGGCUCGAAAGCGUGGGGAGCGAACAGG